Molecule: transfer RNA, 88 nt
Filed under: Planctomycetota bacterium
Lineage: Bacteria; Pseudomonadati; Planctomycetota
Description: tRNA-Ser
Rfam family: tRNA
About the family: Transfer RNA (tRNA) molecules are approximately 80 nucleotides in length. Their secondary structure includes four short double-helical elements and three loops (D, anti-codon, and T loops).
Source: RNAcentral
GGAGAGGUGCCAGAGCGGCUGAAUGGGCCGGUUUCGAAAACCGGUGUGGCGCUUCGCGUCACCGGGGGUUCGAAUCCCCCCCUCUCCG